GCCCAGCUUGNNNNACUCGAGUGGCGAACGGGUGAGUAACACGUGGGUGAUCUGCCUUGCACUCUGGGAUAAGCCUGGGAAACUGGGUCUAAUACCGGAUAUGACCUCUGACUGCAUGGUUGGGGGUGGAAAGCUUUUGCGGUGUGAGAUGGGCCCGCGGCCUAUCAGCUUGUUGGUGAGGUAAUGGCUCACCAAGGCGACGACGGGUAGCCGACCUGAGAGGGUGAUCGGCCACACUGGGACUGAGACACGGCCCAGACUCCUACGGGAGGCAGCAGUGGGGAAUAUUGCACAAUGGGCGCAAGCCUGAUCCAGCCAUGCCGCGUGAGUGACGAAGGCCUUAGGGUUGUAAAGCUCUUUUGGCGGGGACGAUAAUGACGGUACCCGCAG
RNAcentral lists this ribosomal RNA (390 nucleotides) under uncultured bacterium. RNAcentral describes it as "bacterial SSU rRNA". It matches the Rfam family "Bacterial small subunit ribosomal RNA", at positions 61 to 484 of the family's 1533-position model. The record is from RNAcentral.